RNAcentral lists this long non-coding RNA (336 nucleotides) under Pan troglodytes (chimpanzee). RNAcentral's name for it is "long non-coding RNA NONPTRT002911". The record is from RNAcentral. Lineage: Eukaryota; Metazoa; Chordata; Mammalia; Primates; Hominidae.
AAGCAAGCUAAUGUAUGUGGAUGUGUUUGAGAAACAAUAAAGCACUUCACAGGACAGGAGUGAUGACAGAAACCUGAGGCCCUGCUAAUUCACACCAAGACAACACCAAGAAUAAGGACAGGGAGGUACGGACCUAAGCUGCCUCUUCCAGGUAAAACAAUUAGCCUUGUGCAUGGAGGGAAGGCAAGGACAGGGCGAAGCGCAGGAAAUAGGGUUAAAUGUGUGCUACACCCAGAGUGUGGAGGUAAGGAAUGUGUUCUGAGGCAGCCUGGCAGCAGGGAAGCCUGACAGGCUCUGCAUGAAGAGCUGUCUUGCCUAGGAGUGGCUUAGAAAUUG